GCCGCCUUAGCUCAUCUGGUAGAGCAGCGCCCUUGUAAAGCGCAGGUGAUCGGUUCGAGUCCGAUAGGCGGCUCCA
RNAcentral lists this transfer RNA (76 nucleotides) under Leucobacter luti. Its description in RNAcentral is "tRNA-Thr". It matches the Rfam family "tRNA". From Rfam's summary of the family: Transfer RNA (tRNA) molecules are approximately 80 nucleotides in length. Lineage: Bacteria; Bacillati; Actinomycetota; Actinomycetes; Micrococcales; Microbacteriaceae. The record is from RNAcentral. RNAcentral also lists the same sequence under 4 other names.